GACGAACGCUGGCGGCGUGCUUAACACAUGCAAGUCGAACGCUGAAGCUCAGCUUGCUGGGUGGAUGAGUGGCGAACGGGUGAGUAACACGUGAGUAACCUGCCCUCUUCUUUGGGAUAACGCCCGGAAACGGGUGCUAAUACCGGAUAUUCACUGAUUCUCGCAUGGGGGUUGGUGGAAAGGUUUUUUCUGGUGGGGGAUGGGCUCGCGGCCUAUCAGCUUGUUGGUGGGGUGAUGGCCUACCAAGGCUUUGACGGGUAGCCGGCCUGAGAGGGUGACCGGUCACAUUGGGACUGAGAUACGGCCCAGACUCCUACGGGAGGCAGCAGUGGGGAAUAUUGCACAAUGGGCGAAAGCCUGAUGCAGCGACGCCGCGUGAGGGAUGGAGGCCUUCGGGUUGUAAACCUCUUUCGCUCAUGGUCAAGCCGCAGCUUUGGGUUGUGGUGAGGGUAGUGGGUAAAGAAGCGCCGGCUAACUACGUG
Molecule: ribosomal RNA, 482 nt
Filed under: uncultured bacterium
Lineage: Bacteria
Description: partial 16S ribosomal RNA
Rfam family: Bacterial small subunit ribosomal RNA
Source: RNAcentral